GCUGUGGCUCAGUGGAAGAGCUUCUGUUUUGUAUGUAGAAAGGUCCCAAGUUUGAUCCCUGGCAUCUCCA
This 70-nucleotide transfer RNA is filed under the name Sphaerodactylus townsendi. Its description in RNAcentral is "tRNA-Thr". It matches the Rfam family "tRNA". From Rfam's summary of the family: Transfer RNA (tRNA) molecules are approximately 80 nucleotides in length. Their secondary structure includes four short double-helical elements and three loops (D, anti-codon, and T loops). Lineage: Eukaryota; Metazoa; Chordata; Lepidosauria; Squamata; Sphaerodactylidae. The record is from RNAcentral.